GGGCCCCUAGCUCAGCUGGUUAGAGCAAGCGACUCAUAAUCGCUUGGCCGUGGGUUCGAGUCCCACGGGGCCCACCA
Molecule: transfer RNA, 77 nt
Filed under: Planctomycetota bacterium
Lineage: Bacteria; Pseudomonadati; Planctomycetota
Description: Planctomycetes bacterium tRNA-Met
Rfam family: tRNA
About the family: Transfer RNA (tRNA) molecules are approximately 80 nucleotides in length. Their secondary structure includes four short double-helical elements and three loops (D, anti-codon, and T loops).
Source: RNAcentral